GAUGAACGCUGGCGGCGUGCCUAAUACAUGCCAGUCGAGCGAACGGACGAGAAGCUUGCUUCGCGGAUGUUAGCGGCGGACGGGUGAGUAACACGUGGAUAACCUACCUAUAAGACUGGGAUAACUUCGGGAAACCGUAGCUAAUACCGGAUAAUAUUCUGAAUCGCAUGGUUCAAAAGUGAAAGACGGUCUUGCUGGCACUUAUAGAUGGAUCCGCGCUGCAUUAGCUAGUUGGUAAGGUAACGGCUUACCACGGCGACGAUGCAUAGCCGACCUGAGUGAGUGGUCGGCCACACUGGAACUGAGACAGGGUCCAGACUCCUGCGAGAGGCAGCAGUAGGGAAUCUUCCGCAAUGGGCGAGAGCCUGACAGAGCAACGCGGCGUGAGUGAUGAAGAUGUUCGGAUCGUAAAGCUCUGUUACUAGUGGAGAACAUAUGUGUACGUAACUGUGCACAUCUUGACGGUACCGGGUCAAGAAGCCCCGGCUAACUACGUG
Molecule: ribosomal RNA, 497 nt
Filed under: uncultured bacterium
Lineage: Bacteria
Description: partial 16S ribosomal RNA
Rfam family: Bacterial small subunit ribosomal RNA
Source: RNAcentral